Molecule: ribosomal RNA, 433 nt
Filed under: uncultured bacterium
Lineage: Bacteria
Description: partial 16S ribosomal RNA
Rfam family: Bacterial small subunit ribosomal RNA
Source: RNAcentral
AACGAACGCUGGCGGCAUGCCUAACACAUGCAAGUCGAACGAUGCCUCCGGGCAUAGUGGCGCACGGGUGCGUAACGCGUGGGAAUCUGCCCUUGGGUUCGGAAUAACUCGCCGAAAGGCGAGCUAAUACCGGAUGAUGACGUAAGUCCAAAGAUUUAUCGCCCAAGGAUGAGCCCGCGUAGGAUUAGCUAGUUGGUGGGGUAAAGGCCCACCAAGGCAACGAUCCUUAGCUGGUCUGAGAGGAUGAUCAGCCACACUGGGACUGAGACACGGCCCAGACUCCUACGGGAGGCAGCAGUGGGGAAUAUUGGACAAUGGGCGAAAGCCUGAUCCAGCAAUGCCGCGUGAGUGAUGAAGGCCUUAGGGUUGUAAAGCUCUUUUACCCGGGAUGAUAAUGACAGUACCGGGAGAAUAAGCUCCGGCUAACUCCGUG